This 384-nucleotide RNase P RNA is filed under the name Desulfosarcina sp. OttesenSCG-928-A07. RNAcentral's name for it is "RNase P RNA component class A". It matches the Rfam family "Bacterial RNase P class A". From Rfam's summary of the family: Ribonuclease P (RNase P) is a ubiquitous endoribonuclease, found in archaea, bacteria and eukarya as well as chloroplasts and mitochondria. Its best characterised activity is the generation of mature 5'-ends of tRNAs by cleaving the 5'-leader elements of precursor-tRNAs. Lineage: Bacteria; Pseudomonadati; Thermodesulfobacteriota; Desulfobacteria; Desulfobacterales; Desulfosarcinaceae. RNAcentral also lists the same sequence under 1 other name. The record is from RNAcentral.
GGAGCAGACCAGACGGUCGCGGGUUCCGCUUUUGGGCGGGACCGGAGGAAAGUCCGAACACCACAGGGCAGGGUGCUCCAUAACGUGGAGUCACGGUGACGUGAAGGCAAGUGCAACAGAAAGCAAACCGCCUUGCGUUGUUUUGUCAAGGUAAGGGUGAAACGGUGCGGUAAGAGCGCACCAGUUCUCCGGGUGACCGGGGAAGCUGGGUAAACCCCACCCGGUGCAAGACCAAAUAGAGGAGUGUUUGAGGGCGGCCCGUCCGAGCUCCCGGGUAGGUUGCUAGAGGUGCCGGGUAACCGGCAUCCCAGAUGAAUGAUCGUCGCCUUCGGUAUCGGGUAACCGGCCGGAGGAACAGAAUUCGGCUUACGGGCUGCUCCGGCC